RNAcentral lists this ribosomal RNA (468 nucleotides) under uncultured bacterium. Its description in RNAcentral is "partial 16S ribosomal RNA". It matches the Rfam family "Bacterial small subunit ribosomal RNA", at positions 28 to 507 of the family's 1533-position model. The record is from RNAcentral.
GACGAACGCUGGCGGCGUGCUUACCACAUGCAAGUCGAACGGAAAGGCCCUGCUUUUGUGGGGUGCUCGAGUGGCGAACGGGUGAGUAACACGUGAGUAACCUGCCCUUGACUUUGGGAUAACUUCAGGAAACUGGGGCUAAUACCGGAUAGGAGCUCCUGCUGCAUGGUGGGGGUUGGAAAGUUUCGGCGGUUGGGGAUGGACUCGCGGCUUAUCGGCUUGUUGGUGGGGUAGUGGCUUACCAAGGCUUUGACGGGUAGCCGGCCUGAGAGGGUGACCGGCCACAUUGGGACUGAGAUACGGCCCAGACUCCUACGGGAGGCAGCAGUGGGGAAUAUUGCACAAUGGGCGGAAGCCUGAUGCAGCAACGCCGCGUGCGGGAUGACGGCCUUCGGGUUGUAAACCGCUUUCGCCUGUGACGAAGCGUGAGUGACGGUAAUGGGUAAAGAAGCACCGGCUAACUACGUG